GAUGAACGCUGGCGGCGUGCCUAAUACAUGCAAGUCGAGCGAACAGACGAGGAGCUUGCUCCUCUGACGUUAGCGGCGGACGGGUGAGUAACACGUGGAUAACCUACCUAUAAGACUGGGAUAACUUCGGGAAACCGGAGCUAAUACCGGAUAAUAUAUUGAACCGCAUGGUUCAAUAGUGAAAGACGGUUUUGCUGUCACUUAUAGAUGGAUCCGCGCCGCAUUAGCUAGUUGGUAAGGUAACGGCUUACCAAGGCAACGAUGCGUAGCCGACCUGAGGGGGUGAUCGGCCACACGGGAACUGAGACACGGUCCAGACUCCUACGGGAGGCAGCAGUAGGGAAUCUUCCGCAAUGGGCGAAAGCCUGACGGAGCAACGCCGCGUGAGUGAUGAAGGUCUUCGGAUCGUAAAACUCUGUUAUUAGGGAAGAACAAAUGUGUAAGUAACUAUGCACGUCUUGACGGUACCAAAGCAGAAAGCCCCGGCUACCUACGU
This 496-nucleotide ribosomal RNA is filed under the name uncultured bacterium. RNAcentral's name for it is "partial 16S ribosomal RNA". It matches the Rfam family "Bacterial small subunit ribosomal RNA", at positions 28 to 506 of the family's 1533-position model. The record is from RNAcentral.